RNAcentral lists this long non-coding RNA (2616 nucleotides) under Triticum aestivum (bread wheat). RNAcentral describes it as "long non-coding RNA (TAES_LNC011176)". The record is from RNAcentral. Lineage: Eukaryota; Viridiplantae; Streptophyta; Magnoliopsida; Poales; Poaceae.
CACUUGGUAGAAAACAUGAUAGCCCUCUAGGACCAAGCAUCUGCCUGAUCAAAGCCAUGAGACAAAUGGCUCCGAAUUGGCAACUUACAAACCAAUCAUGUGUUACUCUUAAGAAACAAACCAUACAAGGACCUCCUUCCACGACCACAAGUCCAUCCUGAGAACUGCCAUGGUAUGUAUUUACCGAAAUGUGAGAACCUACUCUGAGCUUUGCGCCAAUCGACAAAGAUAAAAUAAAAUCAUAACCAUCAGAGGCUCAGAUAUAGCACGAGGUUCGUGGACAGGAGAUGGAAGCAUGCGGUCAGGCACAGGCAGGGGACACCAUGGAAGCAUGCAGGCAGGCAGGGGACACCAGUUGCGAACUGGUCAGCAGCGGUGAUUUUGCUCCAUGAAGGUCAAUAUCUUAGUCUCGAUCAUGCGUCACCAGAAUACCCAUACCUGUGCCUUCAUCGCAUUGGGUGCCUGUCCAUCUCCGAUUGCCCCUUCUGCCCUGGCGUGUACCCAAAAAUAUGUCAUGUCACUGGUUUGGGAGGCCUUCUCGUUUGAUCGUCUCACUGGUACAGUGGUACUCAUAUCUUGAUAGUAGAGCUGCCGGAAGCUGUUCAUACUGAUACCAAGAGGAGGUGUUUAUCCAGAGACUGAAGUUCCAACGAUUUGCCAUUGUUCCUGUGAAAUAGAAGAGCACCGGUUAAGACUCCAAAAGAAGCAUUCCGAGAUAGCAAGUCUUUUGCGGGUACAAAUUGGAUGACAGACAGCAACGAAAUGUGUGUGGUAGCACUGUUAUGGUGCUUAGGAAACAGAAGGCUGCCCAAACUAGUUCUAUCCAACAAAAGAAUUGCAAUAUUCAACUGUUUAGUACCGAUAAGUUCAUUCUGGAAGGCCUCUUGCAAAAAACAACGUAUCAUAUUCAUUAACAAAGGGGAAAUCAAUACAUCUAUUUGCAUGCAGUGUAUUUUGCCACCACAAACCUGUCAGUUAUUGAUAAUGGAUCUGGACUGGACGUCACACUGACACAUGGGUUUGUAGCAACACAUGGUUUGGGAAAUAAGAACAGAAUUUGGACCGGGGAUGUAAGGUCAGGUCACAGGUUUCUUUCAUCACCAUCAAAGUGAACUACCAAAAAAGUCUUCACACAAGAAAUCAUCAAGGUUAAAAAUGUGCUAUUCAGUGCUCUGUGAUGGCGUGCUGCGGCACUUCACCCUAGGUGUCUAGCGAAGUACUCGAGUGAGUUAUUGACUUCUCUAGCGGUGGCGUGAGGAGACAACCUGAGGAGCGGCGAUGGUGAGAAGAGGGGGACCGGCAGCAGCAGCGGCAUGAGAAGAUUUGUGAAGUGGAGGCGCCCUCGUAAAGCAGAUCAUAUGUGGAGGGUAUGGAUAUAUGGAUGGUUUAGAUGGCCAGCUAGAAGGGUUGAUAAAGCUAGGGUUCCACAUGGGCUAGAUAUGCCCCUAUUCAAAACAUGGCAACAUGGGACAUCAUCUUCCCAGACACCACGAGAGACACUUUCCUAUCGGCACGGCCACAGAACAUCUCCUCCAGAUGACUGGACACCCUCAACAUCCACCCCACAUCGUUCUCCCUUACCCGCACUCUCUAAUUUUUGCUCUUGGAUGCAUUGCCUUGGCCCAAGGUUCUCAGUCGGCUGCUUGUCACCAUGUUCCAGGUGACGUCCAGGCACUAGACAUUCAUACAGUGCCCGCCUAGCACCUAGCACUUUCGCGAACCAUGACGUCUCUGAAUACUUUCCUGUUUCCUAGGCAAACAAGACAAACUACCUACACUAACCUCAGCAUAUUAUAUCCGAAGUUGAGCUGCUAUCACUUAAAGCAUAUGAAUACUAGGUGCACUCACAGGUUAUCGGAAAAACCAAAGUAUAAAGCUGAUUAAACCCAAGUACAAGGGAAAUUAACCCUUUUAAUCCCUGCAAGGUGAGCAACGUGCUGGUUACCAGUUACUCUAGUUUCAUAUUUUCAAUACCUUGAAGAAACAUGAACUCUAAGCAGUUCCUUGACUUCAACAUCCACACCUUCCAUCACUAAAAAUGUGUAUCACGGUCUAUCACCUUCAGUUACGAAUACAUGAAACAGAUUUCUUUUUUACCUUUUUAGCAUACCAUUAUCCUUAUUUCUCAAUGGUAUCUUAGGUAUUUAGCCUUCACAUGUAUAGAUUUGUCAAACUAGUAGACUUAAAUGCAAACAUUAUUUUAGUUCUUGCUUUUAAGGAGGUCUAACAAAAGGCACACUCUUAAUACAACUACAUUUUGACUAAAUUUGAACAGCAGACUAAGAUCAUUCUUGCCAGCCUAAUUUAUUAGGAAAGCACUGAAAAUGGUGAACGUCUUAGUGACAAAAAAAAGUAAACCGACAUGCUAACAGACUGCUUACAUACUGAAAGCUAACCUGAAAAUCCUUGAUGACAUCCAUAUAUUCAACAUAUAUCCAUCAUAGCAAUAUGACCUUUUCAUGCACCUACUAUCACGCAGCAUAGAUUUGAUGUGUAUUCAAGUGUAUAUAAGGACCAAGUACUGCAUACAAAAGAGGCAGUCAGCCCCCUUAUACAACUCAUGGUCAUAAAUGAUAAUUAGGGAAAAUUAUAGUCAGCAUUCAGCAACGGUGUAAU